GAUGCUNGCGGNCUGGNNCACCUCCUUAACUAUGCANGNCGANCGAUGAACCCCUUNGGGGUGGAUUAGUGGCGAACGGGUGAGUAACACGUGGGCAAUCUGCCCUUCACUCUGGGACAAGCCCUGGAAACGGGGUCUAAUACCGGAUACCACUCCUGCCCGCAUGGGCGGGGGUUGAAAGCUCCGGCGGUGAAGGAUGAGCCCGCGGCCUAUCAGCUUGUUGGUGGGGUAAUGGCCCACCAAGGCGACGACGGGUAGCCGGCCUGAGAGGGCGACCGGCCACACUGGGACUGAGACACGGCCCAGACUCCUACGGGAGGCAGCAGUGGGGAAUAUUGCACAAUGGGCGAAAGCCUGAUGCAGCGACGCCGCGUGAGGGAUGACGGCCUUCGGGUUGUAAACCUCUUUCAGCAGGGAAGAAGCGAAAGUGACGGUACCUGCAGAAGAAGCGCCGGCUAACUACGUGCCAGCAGCCGCGGUAAUACGUAGGGCGCAAGCGUUGUCCGGAAUUAUUGGGCGUAAAGAGCUCGUAGGCGGCUUGUCACGUCGGAUGUGAAAGCCCGAGGCUUAACCUCGGGUCUGCAUUCGAUACGGGCUAGCUAGAGUGUGGUAGGGGAGAUCGGAAUUCCUGGUGUAGCGGUGAAAUGCGCAGAUAUCAGGAGGAACACCGGUGGCGAAGGCGGAUCUCUGGGCCAUUACUGACGCUGAGGAGCGAAAGCGUGGGGAGCGAACAGGAUUAGAUACCCUGGUAGUCCACGCCGUAAACGUUGGGAACUAGGUGUUGGCGACAUUCCACGUNGUCGGUGCCGCANNUACGCAUUAAUUNCCCGCCUGGGGNNUCNGCCGCAGGCUAAACUCAANGANUGACGGGGNCCNCACAANCGGGGGACAUGUGCUNAUUGACCACNCAANAACUUCCAGGNUGNAUNNCCGA
This 934-nucleotide ribosomal RNA is filed under the name Streptomyces sp. LK1213.2. Its description in RNAcentral is "partial 16S ribosomal RNA". It matches the Rfam family "Bacterial small subunit ribosomal RNA", at positions 32 to 991 of the family's 1533-position model. The record is from RNAcentral. Lineage: Bacteria; Bacillati; Actinomycetota; Actinomycetes; Kitasatosporales; Streptomycetaceae.